Molecule: ribosomal RNA, 327 nt
Filed under: uncultured eukaryote
Lineage: Eukaryota
Description: partial 18S ribosomal RNA
Rfam family: Eukaryotic small subunit ribosomal RNA
Source: RNAcentral
CCCUUAGAUGUUCUGGGCCGCACGCGCGCUACACUGAACAGUUCAACAAGUCUUAACCUUGGCCGAUAGGUCUGGGUAAUCUUUGAACGCUGUUCGUGAUUGGGAUAGACCUUUGCAAUUAUGGGUCUUCAACGAGGAAUUCCUAGUAAACGCAAGUCAUCAGCUUGCAUUGAUUACGUCCCUGCCCUUUGUACACACCGCCCGUCGCUCCUACCGAUUGAAUGGUCCGGUGAAGCGUUCGGACCGUGGCCUUUGGACGGUUCGCCGUCUGUUGGCUGCGGGAAGUUCGUUAAACCUUAUCAUUUAGAGGAAGGAGAAGUCGUAACA